This 25-nucleotide non-coding RNA is filed under the name Mus musculus (house mouse). The record is from RNAcentral. Lineage: Eukaryota; Metazoa; Chordata; Mammalia; Rodentia; Muridae.
UCAGAGCCUGGUCGCCUCACAGAGG